UCUUGACAUCCAGAGAACUUUCCAGAGAUGGAUUGGUGCCUUCGGGAACUCUGAGACAGGUGCUGCAUGGCUGUCGUCAGCUCGUGUUGUGAAAUGUUGGGUUAAGUCCGCAACGAGCGCAACCCCUAUCCUUUGUUGCCAGCGAUUCGGUCGGGAACUCAAAGGAGACUGCCGGUGAUAAACCGGAGGAAGGUGGGGAUGACGUCAAGUCAUCAUGGCCCUUACGAGUAGGGCUACACACGUGCUACAAUGGCGUAUACAAAGAGAAGCGACCUCGCGAGAGCAAGCGGACCUCAUAAAGUACGUCGUAGUCCGGAUUGGAGUCUGCAACUCGACUCCAUGAAGUCGGAAUCGCUAGUAAUCGUAGAUCAGAAUGCUACGGUGAAUACGUUCCCGGGCCUUGUACACACCGCCCGUCACACCAUGGGAGUGGGUUGCAAAAGAAGUAGAUAGCUUAACCUUCGGGAGGGCGUUUACCACUUUGUGAUUCAUGACUGGGGUGAAGUCGUAACAAGGUAAGCGUAGCGAG
This 529-nucleotide ribosomal RNA is filed under the name uncultured bacterium. RNAcentral's name for it is "bacterial SSU rRNA". It matches the Rfam family "Bacterial small subunit ribosomal RNA", at positions 979 to 1509 of the family's 1533-position model. The record is from RNAcentral.